This 482-nucleotide ribosomal RNA is filed under the name uncultured bacterium. Its description in RNAcentral is "partial 16S ribosomal RNA". It matches the Rfam family "Bacterial small subunit ribosomal RNA", at positions 30 to 507 of the family's 1533-position model. The record is from RNAcentral.
AUUGAACGCUGGCGGCAUGCCUUACACAUGCAAGUCGAACGGUAACAGGUCUUCGGAUGCUGACGAGUGGCGAACGGGUGAGUAAUACAUCGGAACGUGCCCGAUCGUGGGGGAUAACGGAGCGAAAGCUUUGCUAAUACCGCAUACGAUCUACGGAUGAAAGCAGGGGACCGCAAGGCCUUGCGCGGACGGAGCGGCCGAUGGCAGAUUAGGUAGUUGGUGGGAUAAAAGCUUACCAAGCCGACGAUCUGUAGCUGGUCUGAGAGGACGACCAGCCACACUGGGACUGAGACACGGCCCAGACUCCUACGGGAGGCAGCAGUGGGGAAUUGUGGACAAUGGGCGAAAGCAUGAUCCAGCCAUGCCGCGUGCAGGAUGAAGGCCUUCGGGUUGUAAACUGCUUUUGUACGGAACGAAAAGACUCUUUCUAAUACAGAGGGUCCAUGACGGUACCGGAAGAAUAAGCACCGGCUAACUACGUG